GACGAACGCUGGCGGCGUGCUUAACACAUGCAAGUCGAACGGAAAGGCCCCUUUGGGGGUACUCGAGUGGCGAACGGGUGAGUAACACGUGAGUAACCUGCCCUUGACUUCGGGAUAACUUCAGGAAACUGGGGCUAAUACCGGAUAGGAAUCCUUGCUGCAUGGUGGGGGUUGGAAAGCUUCGGCGGUUUUGGAUGGACUCGCGGCUUAUCAGCUUGUUGGUGGGGUAGUGGCUUACCAAGGCUUUGACGGGUAGCCGGCCUGAGAGGGCGACCGGCCACAUUGGGACUGAGAUACGGCCCAUACUCCUACGGGAGGCAGCAGUGGGGAAUAUUGCACAAUGGGCGGAAGCCUGAUGCAGCAACGCCGCGUGCGGGAUGACGGCCUUCGGGUUGUAAACCGCUUUCAGCAGGGGCGAAGCUUGUGGUGACGGUACCUGCAGAAGAAGCACCGGCUAACUACGUG
This 465-nucleotide ribosomal RNA is filed under the name uncultured bacterium. RNAcentral describes it as "partial 16S ribosomal RNA". It matches the Rfam family "Bacterial small subunit ribosomal RNA", at positions 28 to 507 of the family's 1533-position model. The record is from RNAcentral.